UGCAGUCGAGCGGCAGCGGAAAGUAGCUUGCUACUUUGCCGGCGAGCGGCGGACGGGUGAGUAAUGUCUGGGAAACUGCCUGAUGGAGGGGGAUAACUACUGGAAACGGUGGCUAAUACCGCAUAACGUCGCAAGACCAAAGUGGGGGACCUUCGGGCCUCACGCCAUCGGAUGUGCCCAGAUGGGAUUAGCUAGUAGGUGGGGUAAUGGCUCACCUAGGCGACGAUCCCUAGCUGGUCUGAGAGGAUGACCAGCCACACUGGAACUGAGACACGGUCCAGACUCCUACGGGAGGCAGCAGUGGGGAAUAUUGCACAAUGGGCGCAAGCCUGAUGCAGCCAUGCCGCGUGUGUGAAGAAGGCCUUCGGGUUGUAAAGCACUUUCAGCGAGGAGGAAGGCAUCACACUUAAUACGUGUGGUGAUUGACGUUACUCGCAGAAGAAGCACCGGCUAACUCCGUGCCAGCAGCCGCGGUAAUACGGAGGGUGCAAGCGUUAAUCGGAAUUACUGGGCGUAAAGCGCACGCAGGCGGUUUGUUAAGUCAGAUGUGAAAUCCCCGCGCUUAACGUGGGAACUGCAUUUGAAACUGGCAAGCUAGAGUCUUGUAGAGGGGGGGUAGAAUUCCAGGUGUAGCGGUGAAAUGCGUAGAGAUCUGGAGGAAUACCGGUGGCGAA
Molecule: ribosomal RNA, 674 nt
Filed under: Yersinia sp. 8BM
Lineage: Bacteria; Pseudomonadati; Pseudomonadota; Gammaproteobacteria; Enterobacterales; Yersiniaceae
Description: bacterial SSU rRNA
Rfam family: Bacterial small subunit ribosomal RNA
Source: RNAcentral